CCUUAAGCUGAUCUUAUGUAAAACUACCCGCUGAAUUUAAACAUAUUAUUAAGCGGAGGAAAAGAAAAUAACUAUGAUUCCCUUAGUAAUGGCGAACGAACAGGGAUCAGUUCAAGCCUUUAAUCCUUCCCCUUGGGGACAGGAGUUGUGGUCUACCCCUUGUUUAUCUGUACCGUCGUCCCGACUAGAUCUAGCGAGAUAUAGUGUCACAGAGGGUUUCAACCCCGUCUGUUGGGAUUGUGUGUACCUAAGAUAGCUUUGGUGUGAGUCGUGUUGCUUGGGACUGCAGCACUAAUUGGGAGGUAAUAUCCUUCUAAAACUAAAUAUUACCAGGAGACCGAUAGCGAACAAGUACCGUGAGGGAAAGAUGAAAAGGAAUUUGAAAAGAAUGUGAAAAGUACGUGAAAUCGUUAGGUGAAAGCGAAUAGCAUGCCUUUAAUAACGUGGGUUUUCUGGUUGCUACGCUUCUUUGUUCAUGCGUGCAUGUCACUGGAGUACACAAUUGGUUAACUGAGGAGAGAUUGUUCUUGUUCGUCUGUAGUCGUGAUUUUGAUUUCUUUUGCUUCCGCCACGGUGGGGUAAUUGAUUUUGGCUUCCUUCUGCUUUCGUUUGUUCAUCUUGACGUUAUUGGCGUUGUUAUCCGACCCGUCUUGAAACACGGACCAAGGAGUCUAACGUAUGUGCGAGUCCUCGAGUUGUAAACUCCUAGGCGUAGAGAAAUCGAUUGAAUGAUAACACUUAGUGUUCCUCAUCGGCUGUGACUGAUUCUUCGGAUGAAGAAUACUCGCUUGAGCAUGUAUGUUGGGACCCGAAAGAUGGUGAACUAUGCUUGAUCAGGUUGAAGCCAGGGGAAACCCUGGUGGAGGACCGUAGAGAUACUGACGUGCAAAUCGUUCUUCAGAAUUGAGUAUAGGGGCGAAAGACUAAUCGAACCAUCUAGUAGCUGGUUCCCUCCGAAGUUUCCCUCAGGAUAGCUGGAGUUCUUAGGAGCCACGUGAGGUAAAGCGAAUGAUUGGAGGACUUGGGUUUGAAACAUUCUCUGCCUACUCUCAAACUUUAAAUGUGCGUGAACAUCUGAUUGCUUAAUUGAAUCGGGUUGUAGGGUCUAGAAUUCUUAGUGGGCCAUUUUUGGUAAGCAGAACUGGCGAUGCGGGAUGCUCCGGAAGCUGGGUUAAGGUGCCUAACUAAUCGCUCAUUCAGAUACCAUGAAAGGUGUUGGUUGAUUUAGACAGCAGGACGGUGGUCAUGGAAGUUGAAAUCCGCUAAGGAGUGUGUAACAACUCACCUGCCGAAUCAAGUAGCCCUGAAAAUGGAUGGCGCUCAAGCGAUUGACCGAUACUCAGCCAUUUGUGCUUUUGUGAUGCAUAAAUGAGUAGGAGGGCGUGACGAUAGUGCCGAAGGUGUGGCGGUGACGUCCACUGAAGCUGUCGUUAGUGCAGAUCUUGGUGUUAGUAGCAAAUAUUCAAAUGAAAACUUUGAAGGCCGAAGUGGAGAAAGGUUUCACGUGAAGUUUAAUGCGACGUGAGUGACCCAGUCCUAAUCGUCUCCUGAAAUGGAAAGAUAGGUUGCUUUUUGCGCCAUCACGAGAAAGGGAAACCGGUUAAUAUUCCGGUGGUGCAACCACGAUGCUAAGCGGUGACGCUGUAGAACCGGGUGACGCCAGCGAGGUCCCUGGAAAGAGUUUUCUUUUCUUUUUAACAAAUUGACAGUGAAUGGAAUGGGAUUAUCCCGAGAUAUUCAGUGUUGUUUGGCAAAGCAGGUGACUUUCUCACCUGUCCGGUGCGAUCUCGAUGGUCCAUGAAAAGCCUGGGGAUUAUUUACAUCAGAGUUGUAGCUGUACUCAUAACCGCAUCAGGUCUCCAAGGUGAAUAGCCUCUGGUCGAUGUGAUAAUGUAGGUAAGGGAAGUCGGCAAAUUAGGUCUGUAACUUCGGGAAAAAGACUGGCUCUUAGGGCUGGGCGUAUGAGGCUCGAAAUUGAAGUCUCCUAUUUCCGUCGUCUGGCUAGCUCUUCGGGGCAGGCCGAAUGAUCGUGAUUUGGGUGAUGGAUUUUUCGGGAUGCUUCGGCGAUCUCUGCGUAUUUAACAGCUAACUGAGAACUGGCGCGGACAAGGGGAAUCCGACUGUUUAAUUAAAACAAAGCAUUGUGAUGGUCGGAAACGAUGUUGACACAAUGUGAUUUCUGCCCAGUGCUCUGGAUGUCAAAGUGAUGAAAUUCAAGGAAGCGCGGGUAAACGGCGGGAGUAACUAUGACUCUCUUAAGGUAGCCAAAUGCCUCGUCAUCUAAUUAGUGACGCGCAUGAAUGGAUUAACGAGAUUCCCACUGUCCCUACCUACUACACAGUGAAACCACAGCCAAGGGAACGGGCUUGGGUGUAACGGCGGGGAAAGAAGACCCUGUUGAGCUUGACUCUAGUCUGACUUUGUGAGGUGACUUGAGAGGUGCAGCGUAAGUGGGAGAGCAAUCGUCAAUGAGACACCACUACUCUUAUCGUUGUCUUACUUAUACGUUUAGUAAGCAACAGAAUAUUACAUUCUGCUUAUAGUUUUAAGCACACUCGUGUGCGAGCUUGGACGUUGACAGUGUCAGGCGGGGAGUUUGGCUGGGGCGGCACAUCUGUUAAAUGAUAACACAGGUGUCCUAAGAUCAGCUCAGUGAGAACAGAAAUCUCACGUAGAGCAUAAGGGUAAAAGCUGAUUUGACAACCACCUCCAGUGAUGGUGGAAGCCGUGAAAGCGUGGCCUAGCGAACUCUCAACUUGUGGAUAUUACGGUUGGGAAUGUCAGAAAAGUUACCACAGGGAUAACUGGCUUGUGGCAGCCAAGCGUUCAUAGCGACGUUGCUUUUUGAUCCUUCGAUGUCGGCUCUUCCUAUCCCUAAGUCGCAUAAGGCUUAAACGGUAAGAUUGUUCACCUACUAACAGGGAACGUGAGCUGGGUUUAGACCGUCGCGAGACAGGUUAGUUUUAUCCUACUAUAACGUAGGUAUUCCGAUAGUACCGCAACUCAGUACGAGAGGAACCGUUGUGGCGAGUAACCGGUUAAUGCCGUUGUUCGAGAGAACAAUGCGGCGAAGCUGCCACUCGUGGGAUAACAGCUGAACGCCUCUAAGCUGGAAACCCUACUAACACGAAUACUUUGUGUU
Molecule: ribosomal RNA, 3142 nt
Filed under: marine metagenome
Description: eukaryotic LSU rRNA
Rfam family: Eukaryotic large subunit ribosomal RNA
Source: RNAcentral